UAGCAGAAACACAUAUCCUCGCUGCGUUCCUGACCAAGGCUGUCCUCCAACUGGUAAAAUCCCAAGGCACAGACACAGCCUUCAAAAAUGAGUGAGAAGGUCGUAGAGGGACCAGAAAUUCUACUAUUCAAAGAAAGAUCAAAGACAUCAGCUGACAAAAAAAAAGAGAAGAGAAAAUUUGGGAUGAAAGUGAGAAGUUAAUGCCAAAACCUGGAUUCUAGUCUCAUUAAGAUUGAUGACCAAAAGGAGCAGUUUUGUUCUCCUCGGUUUUCCUCCAGCCUUUGAAGUUUCUGGACUUUGAAGUUUCAGUGACACUGCUUAUACCUUUCAUCUCCAUAUAUCCACAAACUAUUCAAGCUCCUUUGAAAUUUAAAGCUUUUGAUGUUGAUUAGAUCGAAGCUAUACACUAUGCAAUCCCUGUGGUAAACUUUGUUGUGGAACAGAAUUACUCUCAUGCUAAUGGUUUAGGAUGUUCAGUCUUUUGCAGAUUUACAAAACAUAAGAGUGUAAUUAGAGCAAUUACUUAAAUCCAUUGAUAUUUGAAAACUGAGACUGGCUUUUAUACAUUUAUGUAUAUCCCUGACAUCUAGCAAAAAUAUGUAAAUGAAAAAACUAAGGAAUAUUUAAUUUUAGUGCUUUUUCAGAGACCUAAGAAUGAUAAAGCAUAUUUUGACAUUUCUGUGAUACCCAUACAUUUCUCCUAAACAUUAAAAAUAAAUUAUUAUAAUUUUCCUCUUAUACAAUGUAAUUACAGUUGAAAAAUACUGGUUGGUGUGUAUCUGUGUGUGUGUGUGUGAGAGAGAGAGACAAACAGAGACAGAGACAGAGAGACAGAGACAGAGGUACAUUGCUUUUAGGAAAGAAUAUUACUUUAUAGUUCCAAAUUUACAUCCAUAAGAAAAUAUUUCAAAUGACUAAAACAAUGAUUGCAAAUAAUUAACAAUAUUUUUAUGUUAAAGAUGUUUCAGACAUUUUGCAUACAUC
This is a long non-coding RNA of Phacochoerus africanus (Common warthog), 984 nucleotides long. RefSeq lists it as uncharacterized. Lineage: Eukaryota; Metazoa; Chordata; Mammalia; Artiodactyla; Suidae. The record is from RefSeq and is a predicted model, not a curated record. The transcript has 4 exons.